CGGGGUGCACCAGGCGCGAAAACUUUACAAUGCUGGCAACAGCGAUAAGGGGACCUCGAGUGCCAGGAUACAAUCUUGGCUGUCGCGAUGCCUAAAAAGCAUUGCAUAGCAAGGGCCGGGCAAGACCGGUGCCAGCCGCCGCGGUAACACCGGCGGCUCGAGUGGUAACCGCUAUUAUUGGGUCUAAAGGGUCUGUAGCCGGCCGGAUAAGUCUCUUGGGAAAUCCAGCAGCUCAACUGUUGGGCUUCCAGGGGAUACUGUUCGGCUCGAGGCCGGGAGAGGUGAGAGGUACUUCAGGGGUAGGGGUGAAAUCUUGUAAUCCUUGAAGGACCACCGGUGGCGAAGGCGUCUCACCAGAACGGUCCUGACGGCAAGGGACGAAAGCUAGGGGCACGAACCGGAUUAGAUACCCGGGUAGUCCUAGCCGUAAACGAUACUCGCUAGGUGUCAGCCACGGUGCGACCGUGGUUGGUGCCGUAGGGAAGCCGUGAAGCGAGCCACCUGGGAAGUACGGCCGCAAGGCUGAAACUUAAAGGAAUUGGCGGGGGAGCACAAGGGCGAAUCGC
RNAcentral lists this ribosomal RNA (566 nucleotides) under uncultured archaeon. Its description in RNAcentral is "bacterial SSU rRNA". It matches the Rfam family "Archaeal small subunit ribosomal RNA", at positions 326 to 896 of the family's 1478-position model. The record is from RNAcentral.